GCAGCUCUGACACAGGAGCCCCAGACCAGGGACUCCCAGCUGUCCCACUCAGGGAUCGCACUCCACACAGACACUCACCAUGGAGACCGCUCUGAGCUGGCUUCUCCUGGUGGCUGUGCUCCAAGGUGUCCAGUGUCAGGAGCAGCUGGAGGAGUCCGGCGGAGACUUGGUCGAGCCUGGGGCGACACUGACACUCACCUGCAAAGUCUCUGGAUUCAGCAUCAGUAGCUACUACAUGUGCUGGAUUCGCCAGGCUCCUGGCAAGGGGCUCGAAUGGCUCGCAUGCAUUUAUGCUGGUAGUAGUGGUAGCACAUACUACGCGUCCUCCGUGAAGGGCCGAUUCACCAUCUCCAGCAGCAGCGCCACCAGCACGGUGUCCCUGCAAAUGACCGCUCUGACAGCCCAGGACACCGCCAUCUAUUACUGUGCCAGAGACACAGUGCAGGGACCUCAGUGUGAGCCCAGGCACAAACCUGGCUGCAGGGCCUGUGGCUCCACCAGGGGGCGCACAAUGAUCGCUGAGCUGACUCAAUACUAA
Ochotona curzoniae (black-lipped pika) is the source of this 538-nucleotide non-coding RNA. NCBI's taxonomy places the organism in Eukaryota, Metazoa, Chordata, Mammalia, Lagomorpha, Ochotonidae. The record is from the annotation of a RefSeq genome assembly.